Molecule: ribosomal RNA, 242 nt
Filed under: uncultured bacterium
Lineage: Bacteria
Description: partial 16S ribosomal RNA
Rfam family: Bacterial small subunit ribosomal RNA
Source: RNAcentral
GGACGGGUGAGUAACACGUGGGUAACCUACCCAUCAGCGGGGGAUAACACUUGGAAACAGGUGCUAAUACCGCAUAAUUGCUUUUUACUGCAUAGUAGAAGUAUGAAAGACGCUUUCGGGUGUCACUGAUGGAUGGACCUGCGGUGCAUUAGCUAGUUGGUGAGAUAAAAGCCCACCAAGGCGACGAUGCAUAGCCGACCUGAGAGGGUGAUCGGCCACACUGGGACUGAGACACGGCCCAG